Molecule: long non-coding RNA, 5991 nt
Filed under: Homo sapiens (human)
Lineage: Eukaryota; Metazoa; Chordata; Mammalia; Primates; Hominidae
Description: HSALNT0387934
Source: RNAcentral
GCAUCCCAAAUCUGAAAAUCCAAAAUCUGAAAUGCUCCAGUGAGUUUUGGAUUUUGGAGCAUUUCAGCUUUGGGUUUUCUGAUGAAUGAUACUCAGCCUAUAUUCCACAGAGCGGGACUGCAGGGUCGAGAACUGUGUGUUUGGAUGAUGACAUAGAGUCAGGCCGCCCUCCAGGAGGAAAAGCCACAUUCCCAGGAGGCUACAGUAAGUGUUUUUGGGGUGGGGACCUCGGCUUACACUUCCUGGUGGAAUCCAAGGCCUCCUCUGUGGACCCUGAUCGGGGAAGGUUCCCAGGGAACCACGGUGGGCUUGGGGAGAGGCAUCCAUCAGGGCAUGAGGCCACCAGAGUGAGGGGCGUGGGGCGAACAAUGGAGCUACCCUGCCAUCCCUAGGACAGGCCUUGGGGGCUGAGAGUGCUCCCCCACCUCACGCCCAGCCAGUCAAGGCCCUGUUUAACGGGGAGUGGCCAGGUUGAUGCUCAGGGUGACUUGGCAAUGUGGCCAAGCCAUCUCUGUCGUGAGUCUUCAGGGGAAGAGACUAAGACACCCCACAGAGCUGCAUUCCCGCACACUGUGGGGCCGAGAACCUCAUCUGUGCCAGUGAGUCCUCAGCUCAUGGACUUCCGAGCUGCUCCUUUGCGGCACCGGACCACGGUUUUGGCCUCCGGGUAUGCGCAAUCCUUUUUUAAAAAAAUUAAAAAUGUUUCCAUUGUAUUAAAGUAUUCAUAACAUCAAACGUAUCACCUGAAGUGCAACCCAUCUCCAGAACUUGCCAAACUGAAACUCUAUAACCACUAAGCAAUAGCUCUCCUCUGCCCUGGCCCCUGGCCACCCCAGUCUGCUGUCUGUCCCUAGGAACGUUACUACCCUACGUACUUCCUAUGAGGGGAGCCGCACGGCGUCUGUCCUUUUCCAUCCCUAGGAACGUGACUACCCUACGUACUUCCUAUGAGGGGAGCCGCACGGCGUCUGUCCUUUUCCAUCCCUAGGAACGUGACUACCCUACGUACUUCCUAUGAGGGGAGCCGCACGGCGUCUGUCCUGUUCCAUCCCUAGGAAUGUGACUACCCUACGUACUUCCUAUGAGGGGAGCCGCACGGCGUCUGUCCUUUUCCAUCCCUAGGAACGUGACUACCCUACGUACUUCCUAUGAGGGGAGCUGCACGGCGUCUGUCCUUUUCCGUCCCUAGGAAUGUGACUACCCUACGUACUUCCUAUGAGGGGAGCCGCAUGGCGUCUGUCCUGUUCCAUCCCUAGGAACGUGACUACCCUACGUACUUCCUAUGAGGGGAGCCGCACGGCGUCUGUCCUUUUCCAUCCCUAGGAAUGUGACUACCCUACGUACUUCCUAUGAGGGGAGCUGCACGGCGUCUGUCCUUUUCCAUCCCUAGGAAUAUGACUACCCUACGUACUUCCUAUGAGGGGAGCCGCAUGGCGUCUGUCCUGUUCCAUCCCUAGGAACGUGACUACCCUACGUACUUCCUAUGAGGGGAGCCGCACGGCGUCUGUCCUUUUCCAUCCCUAGGAAUGUGACUACCCUACGUACUUCCUAUGAGGGGAGCUGCACGGCGUCUGUCCUGUUCCAUCCCUAGGAACGUGACUACCCUACGUACUUCCUAUGAGGGGAGCCGCACGGCGUCUGUCCUUUUCCGUCCCUAGGAAUAUGACUACCCUACGUACUUCCUAUGAGGGGAGCUGCACGGCGUCUGUCCUUUUCCAUCCCUAGGAAUGUGACUACCCAACGUACUUCCUAUGAGGGGAGCCGCACGGCGUCUGUCCUUUUCCAUCCCUAGGAACGUGACUACCCUACGUACUUCCUAUGAGGGGAGCCGCACGGCGUCUGUCCUUUUCCAUCCCUAGGAACGUGACUACCCUACGUACUUCCUAUGAGGGGAGCCGCACGGCGUCUGUCCUUUUCCAUCCCUAGGAAUGUGACUACCCUACGUACUUCCUAUGAGGGGAGCCGCACGGCGUCUGUCCUUUUCCAUCCCUAGGAAUGUGACUACCCUACGUACUUCCUAUGAGGGGAGCCGCACGGCGUCUGUCCUGUUCCAUCCCUAGGAAUGUGACUACCCUACGUACUUCCUAUGAGGGGAGCCGCACGGCGUCUGUCCUUUUCCAUCCCUAGGAACGUGACUACCCUACGUACUUCCUAUGAGGGGAGCCGCACGGCGUCUGUCCUUUUCCAUCCCUAGGAACGUGACUACCCUACGUACUUCCUAUGAGGGGAGCUGCACGGCGUCUGUCCUUUUCCGUCCCUAGGAAUGUGACUACCCUACGUACUUCCUAUGAGGGGAGCCGCAUGGCGUCUGUCCUGUUCCAUCCCUAGGAACGUGACUACCCUACGUACUUCCUAUGAGGGGAGCCGCACGGCGUCUGUCCUUUUCCAUCCCUAGGAAUGUGACUACCCUACGUACUUCCUAUGAGGGGAGCUGCACGGCGUCUGUCCUUUUCCAUCCCUAGGAAUAUGACUACCCUACGUACUUCCUAUGAGGGGAGCCGCAUGGCGUCUGUCCUGUUCCAUCCCUAGGAACGUGACUACCCUACGUACUUCCUAUGAGGGGAGCCGCACGGCGUCUGUCCUUUUCCAUCCCUAGGAACGUGACUACCCUACGUACUUCCUAUGAGGGGAGCUGCACGGCGUCUGUCCUGUUCCAUCCCUAGGAAUGUGACUACCCAACGUACUUCCUAUGAGGGGAGCCGCACGGCGUCUGUCCUUUUCCAUCCCUAGGAACGUGACUACCCUACGUACUUCCUAUGAGGGGAGCCGCACGGCGUCUGUCCUUUUCCAUCCCUAGGAACGUGACUACCCUACGUACUUCCUAUGAGGGGAGCUGCACGGCGUCUGUCCUUUUCCAUCCCUAGGAACGUGACUACCCUACGUACUUCCUAUGAGGGGAGCUGCACGGCGUCUGUCCUGUUCCAUCCCUAGGAAUGUGACUACCCUACGUACUUCCUAUGAGGGGAGCCGCACGGCGUCUGUCCUUUUCCAUCCCUAGGAACGUGACUACCCUACGUACUUCCUAUGAGGGGAGCCGCACGGCGUCUGUCCUGUUCCGUCCCUAGGAAUGUGACUACCCUACGUACUUCCUAUGAGGGGAGCCGCACGGCGUCUGUCCUUUUCCAUCCCUAGGAAUAUGACUACCCUACGUACUUCCUAUGAGGGGAGCUGCACGGUGUCUGUCCUUUUCCAUCCCUAGGAACGUGACUACCCUACGUACUUCCUAUGAGGGGAGCCGCACGGCGUCUGUCCUUUUCCAUCCCUAGGAACGUGACUACCCUACGUACUUCCUAUGAGGGGAGCCGCACGGCGUCUGUCCUUUUCCAUCCCUAGGAAUAUGACUACCCUACGUACUUCCUAUGAGGGGAGCUGCACGGCGUCUGUCCUUUUCCGUCCCUAGGAACGUGACUACCCUACGUACUUCCUAUGAGGGGAGCCGCACGGCGUCUGUCCUUUUCCAUCCCUAGGAACGUGACUACCCUACGUACUUCCUAUGAGGGGAGCCGCACGGCGUCUGUCCUUUUCCAUCCCUAGGAACGUGACUACCCUACGUACUUCCUAUGAGGGGAGCCGCACGGCGUCUGUCCUUUUCCAUCCCUAGGAAUGUGACUACCCUACGUACUUCCUAUGAGGGGAGCCGCACGGCGUCUGUCCUUUUCCAUCCCUAGGAAUGUGACUACCCUACGUACUUCCUAUGAGGGGAGCCGCACGGCGUCUGUCCUGUUCCAUCCCUAGGAAUGUGACUACCCUACGUACUUCCUAUGAGGGGAGCCGCACGGCGUCUGUCCUGUUCCAUCCCUAGGAACGUGACUACCCUACGUACUUCCUAUGAGGGGAGCCGCACGGCGUCUGUCCUUUUCCAUCCCUAGGAACGUGACUACCCUACGUACUUCCUAUGAGGGGAGCCGCACGGCGUCUGUCCUUUUCCAUCCCUAGGAAUGUGACUACCCUACGUACUUCCUAUGAGGGGAGCCGCACGGCGUCUGUCCUUUUCCAUCCCUAGGAAUGUGACUACCCUACGUACUUCCUAUGAGGGGAGCCGCACGGCGUCUGUCCUUUUCCAUCCCUAGGAACGUGACUACCCUACGUACUUCCUAUGAGGGGAGCCGCACGGCGUCUGUCCUUUUCCAUCCCUAGGAACGUGACUACCCUACGUACUUCCUAUGAGGGGAGCCGCACGGCGUCUGUCCUUUUCCAUCCCUAGGAAUGUGACUACCCUACGUACUUCCUAUGAGGGGAGCCGCACGGCGUCUGUCCUUUUCCAUCCCUAGGAACGUGACUACCCUACGUACUUCCUAUGAGGGGAGCCGCACGGCGUCUGUCCUUUUCCGUCCCUAGGAAUGUGACUACCCUACGUACUUCCUAUGAGGGGAGCCGCACGGUGUCUGUCCUUUUCCAUCCCUAGGAAUGUGACUACCCUACGUACUUCCUAUGAGGGGAGCCGCACGGCGUCUGUCCUUUUCCAUCCCUAGGAACGUGACUACCCUACGUACUUCCUAUGAGGGGAGCCGCACGGCGUCUGUCCUUUUCCAUCCCUAGGAACGUGACUACCCUACGUACUUCCUAUGAGGGGAGCUGCACGGCGUCUGUCCUUUUCCAUCCCUAGGAACGUGACUACCCUACGUACUUCCUAUGAGGGGAGCUGCACGGCGUCUGUCCUUUUCCAUCCCUAGGAACGUGACUACCCUACGUACUUCCUAUGAGGGGAGCCGCACGGCGUCUGUCCUUUUCCGUCCCUAGGAAUGUGACUACCCUACGUACUUCCUAUGAGGGGAGCUGCACGGCGUCUGUCCUUUUCCAUCCCUAGGAAUAUGACUACCCUACGUACUUCCUAUGAGGGGAGCCGCACGGCGUCUGUCCUUUUCCGUCCCUAGGAAUGUGACUACCCUACGUACUUCCUAUGAGGGGAGCCGCACGGUGUCUGUCCUUUUCCGUCCCUAGGAAUGUGACUACCCUACGUACUUCCUAUGAGGGGAGCCGCACGGUGUCUGUCCUGUUCUGUCCCUAGGAAUGUGACUACCCUACGUACUUCCUAUGAGGGGAGCCGCACGGUGUCUGUCCUGUUCUGUCCCUAGGAAUGUGACUACCCUACGUACUUCCUAUGAGGGGAGUCGCACGGCGUCUAUCCUUUUCCAUCCCUAGGAAUGUGACUACCCUACGUACUUCCUAUGAGGGGAGCCGCACGGCAUCUGUCCUUUUUUGGCUGCUUAUUUCCCUCAGCAUCACUUCUUCAGGGCUCACGCACGCAGCAACCCGUGUCAGCACGUCCUUCCUUUCUGAGGCUGAGCAAUGUUCCCCUGUACGGAUGGAUCACGUUUUGUCGUCUGUUCAUAGAUGAUUUAAACACCUCGGCUAGAUUAUUUCAGAACUAGAGGAAAUGCUUUGGCUUCCAUUAACCCCUGGCCGGGGACUGGCUCCUGUGAGGCUUCUACACAAUUACCGCGACCUCCUCUCAUCUUUUGGGUGUAUGCCCGUGAAAGCUAGCAAAUCUACAAAAGUGUAUUUCAUACAGACAUUUCAAAGAAUCAUAUUCCAGUAAAUACCUGUGAGCUCAUCAAGAAAUAAAAUGGUGCUGGAUGUGAGAAGCUCCCGUAAACCCACCCUCCCUCUCAGAGGUAACCACCAUCUGGAAUUUUGUAUUAAGCAAUCUCUUGCUUUUCUAGUUUAAAAAAACCUUGUAUGUAUGUAUGCAUUUCUAAAUAAAUACAGUUGACCCAUGAACCACAUGGGCUGGAACUGCACAGGCCCACUCCUAGCUGGAUUUUCCUCUCCCUCCAUCACCCUUGUGACAACGAAAGCAACCCCUCCUCUUCCUCCUCCUCAUCUCCCCGUCACCCCUGUGACAAUAAAACCAACUCCCCUUCCUCCUCAGCCUACCCAACACGAAGACGAUGAGGAUGAAGACCUUCACGAUGACCCACUUCCCCUUCAUGAAGAGUAAAUAUAUUCUCUCUUCCUCAUGAUUUUCUUAAUAACAUUUUCUUUUCUCUA